This 108-nucleotide small nuclear RNA is filed under the name Dasypus novemcinctus (nine-banded armadillo). Lineage: Eukaryota; Metazoa; Chordata; Mammalia; Cingulata; Dasypodidae. The record is from RNAcentral.
AUGCUCAUUUUUGUAGCACAAAUAUUAAAACUGAAAUAAUUCAGAGAAGAUUAGUAUGGUUCCUAUGCAAGGACAAUGCAAACAUUUCAUGAAGUGCAUUGGUCUUGG